RNAcentral lists this ribosomal RNA (219 nucleotides) under uncultured bacterium. RNAcentral describes it as "partial 16S ribosomal RNA". It matches the Rfam family "Bacterial small subunit ribosomal RNA", at positions 57 to 305 of the family's 1533-position model. The record is from RNAcentral.
GCAAGUCGAACGAACCUUUCGGGGUUAGUGGCGGACGGGUGAGUAACGCGUGAGAAUCUGCCCUCAGGAGGGGGAUAACGACUGGAAACGGUCGCUAAUACCCCAUAUGCCGAGAGGUGAAAUGAAUUUCGCCUGAGGAUGAGCUCGCGUCUGAUUAGCUAGUUGGUAGGGUAACGGCCUACCAAGGCGACGAUGCAUAGCUGGUCUGAGAGGAUGAAC